UACGUAGGGGGCUAGCGUUGUUCGGAAUUACUGGGCGUAAAGCGCACGUAGGCGGCUUUGUAAGUCAGAGGUGAAAGCCCGGGGCUCAACUCCGGAAUUGCCUUUAAGACUGCAUCGCUAGAAUUGUGGAGAGGUAAGUGGAAUUCCGAGUGUAGAGGUGAAAUUCGUAGAUAUUCGGAAGAACACCAGUGGCGAAGGCGACUUACUGGACACAUAUUGACGCUGAGGUGCGAAAGCGUGGGGAGCAAACAGG
RNAcentral lists this ribosomal RNA (253 nucleotides) under uncultured bacterium. RNAcentral describes it as "partial 16S ribosomal RNA". It matches the Rfam family "Bacterial small subunit ribosomal RNA", at positions 524 to 776 of the family's 1533-position model. The record is from RNAcentral.